CAGCAGCCGCGGGAAUACAGAGGGUGCGAGCGUUAAUCGGAUUUACUGGGCGUAAAGCGUGCGUAGGCGGCUUCUUAAGUCGGAUGUGAAAUCCCUGAGCUUAACUUAGGAAUUGCAUUCGAUACUGGGAAGCUAGAGUAUGGGAGAGGAUGGUAGAAUUCCAGGUGUAGCGGUGAAAUGCGUAGAGAUCUGGAGGAAUACCGAUGGCGAAAGCAGCCAUCUGGCCUAAUACUGACGCUGAGGUACGAAAGCAUGGGGAGCAAACAGGAUUAGAUACCCCGGUAGUCCCUGUCUCUUAUAC
This 301-nucleotide ribosomal RNA is filed under the name uncultured bacterium. RNAcentral's name for it is "partial 16S ribosomal RNA". It matches the Rfam family "Bacterial small subunit ribosomal RNA", at positions 509 to 807 of the family's 1533-position model. The record is from RNAcentral.